Molecule: ribosomal RNA, 496 nt
Filed under: uncultured bacterium
Lineage: Bacteria
Description: partial 16S ribosomal RNA
Rfam family: Bacterial small subunit ribosomal RNA
Source: RNAcentral
GACGAACGCUGGCGGCGUGCCUAAUACAUGCAAGUUGAGCGCUGAAGGUUGGUACUUGUACCAACUGGAUGAGCAGCGAACGGGUGAGUAACGCGUGGGGAAUCUGCCUUUGAGCGGGGGACAACAUUUGGAAACGAAUGCUAAUACCGCAUAAAAACUUUAAACACAAGUUUUAAGUUUGAAAGAUGCAAUUGCAUCACUCAAAGAUGAUCCCGCGUUGUAUUAGCUAGUUGGUGAGGUAAAGGCUCACCAAGGCGAUGAUACAUAGCCGACCUGAGAGGGUGAUCGGCCACAUUGGGACUGAGACACGGCCCAGACUCCUACGGGAGGCAGCAGUAGGGAAUCUUCGGCAAUGGACGAAAGUCUGACCGAGCAACGCCGCGUGAGUGAAGAAGGUUUUCGGAUCGUAAAACUCUGUUGGUAGAGAAGAACGUUGGUGAGAGUGGAAAGCUCAUCAAGUGACGGUAACUACCCAGAAAGGGACGGCUAACUACGU